RNAcentral lists this microRNA (22 nucleotides) under Arabidopsis thaliana (thale cress). Its description in RNAcentral is "ath-miR855". Its record names the gene ath-miR855. The record is from miRBase by way of RNAcentral. Lineage: Eukaryota; Viridiplantae; Streptophyta; Magnoliopsida; Brassicales; Brassicaceae.
AGCAAAAGCUAAGGAAAAGGAA